UGGUGUGGUGGCAGUUGAGAGGAAGAAUGAUUUGCAUAAAGCCCCAGAAGGGUGCCAAAACUCUUCACGCUUUAAACAACAGCCUUUAUUAUUCUGUGUGGCCCACCUGUCAGCAGUUGAGAGCUGUCAGCGGCAUUUAAAUUCUUUGGGAAGACUCGGCACUCAUUAACCUGAGCAGAGCUAAGGAGGUCUGUUUUAUGGAUGUGUGUGUGUUCCUCAGAGGUGAAUUUCUCUGCAUGCCUUUCAACACCUUCUGUCCACAGAGAAGCUAACCUAUUCAAGUCAAUGCAUGUCAUCUUUUAAGGAGCAUCCUCAUCAUUAGAGAAACUUGGCUUAUUCGGUCUGUGGUUAACACGUGAGUUGUGGACAGAGGGAGUUGGAAAUUGGAAGGUGAAGUCUUGCGCGUGCGUCCUUGCUCCCUACCGCAUAUUAGCUGAAUGUAUCCACAAGCCGAUCAUUUCAUCUUACUGAGGACAUUUCUUCAUUUGUAAAUGUGGGACCGUGCUAAUACUUAACUCCCAAGAGUGUUGUAAUAUUUUGAAAUGAUGGAAAAUGAGUUUUGCACAUCCUACAAAACAUGCUGCGAAUAUAGUGUCUUUCUACGGAGAAGCACUAUGCUAUUGUCUAGCUUUAUACAGUUCAGGAAUUCUUUUUUGUUUUUUCUAAACAUGGUAAAAAAAAUAAGUAAGUAAAUUCUCAACAGUAGUGUCCGCUGUUCCAGAUAACAUGAAUUGUGUUCAUGCUACAAUACUUAGGCGACACGCAUAGCCAUGAAUUGGGUAGUGUUUUGCCAACAACAGAGUAAAUGACAAC
This is a long non-coding RNA of Suricata suricatta (meerkat), 813 nucleotides long. RefSeq lists it as uncharacterized. Lineage: Eukaryota; Metazoa; Chordata; Mammalia; Carnivora; Herpestidae. The record is from RefSeq and is a predicted model, not a curated record. The transcript has 4 exons.